AGGACGAACGCUGGCGGUGUGCUUCACACAUGCAAGUCGAACGAGGUAGCAAUACCUAGUGGCGGACGGGUGAGUAACGCGUGGGAAUCUGCCUUUAGAUGGGGGAUAACGGGCCGAAAGGUCCGCUAAUACCGCAUAGGCCGCAAGGUUAAAGGAGUAAUCCGUCUAAAGAUGAGCCCGCGUCCGAUUAGCUAGUUGGUAGGGUAAAAGCCUACCAAGGCGACGAUCGGUAGCUGGUCUGAGAGGAUGAUCAGCCACAAUGGGACUGAGACACGGCCCAUACUCCUACGGGAGGCAGCAGUGGGGAAUUUUGUGCAAUGGGCGAAAGCCUGACACAGCGACACCGCGUGAGCGAAGAAGCCCUUUGGUGUGUAAAGCUCUGUCAGCUGGAACGAAAAAUGACGGUACCAGCAGAGGAAGCAUCGGCUAACUACGUGCCAGCAGCCGC
RNAcentral lists this ribosomal RNA (448 nucleotides) under uncultured bacterium. RNAcentral's name for it is "SSU rRNA". It matches the Rfam family "Bacterial small subunit ribosomal RNA", at positions 26 to 518 of the family's 1533-position model. The record is from RNAcentral.